This is an unclassified non-coding RNA of Cebus imitator (Panamanian white-faced capuchin), 87 nucleotides long. It matches the Rfam family "Y RNA". Rfam says of the family: Y RNAs are components of the Ro ribonucleoprotein particle (Ro RNP), in association with Ro60 and La proteins. The Y RNAs and Ro60 and La proteins are well conserved, but the function of the Ro RNP is not known. NCBI's taxonomy places the organism in Eukaryota, Metazoa, Chordata, Mammalia, Primates, Cebidae. The record is from Ensembl.
GGCAGGUCCGAAGGUAGGUAGUUAAUUAAAUUGGUUGUUCCUUGUUCUACUUUUUCCCCCUUCUCCUUAAUGCAGUUGACUAGAAAA